RNAcentral lists this ribosomal RNA (460 nucleotides) under uncultured bacterium. Its description in RNAcentral is "partial 16S ribosomal RNA". It matches the Rfam family "Bacterial small subunit ribosomal RNA", at positions 338 to 795 of the family's 1533-position model. The record is from RNAcentral.
CCUACGGGUGGCAGCAGUGAGGAAUAUUGGUCAAUGGACGAGAGUCUGAACCAGCCAAGUAGCGUGAAGGAUGACUGCCCUAUGGGUUGUAAACUUCUUUUAUAUGGGAAUAAAAUGUUCGACGUGUGGUGUUUUGUAUGUACCAUAUGAAUAAGGAUCGGCUAACUCCGUGCCAGCAGCCGCGGUAAUACGGAGGAUCCGAGCGUUAUCCGGAUUUAUUGGGUUUAAAGGGAGCGUAGGCGGAAUGUUAAGUCAGUGGUGAAAGUUUGAGGCUCAACCGUAGAAUUACAGUUGAAACUGGCAGUCUUGAGUAUGGUAGAGGUGGGCGGAAUGCGUGGUGUAGCGGUGACAUGCUUAGAUAUCACGAAGAACUCCGAUUGCGAAGGCAGCCCACUGGACUGCAACUGACACUGAGGCUCGAAAGUGUGGGUAUCAAACAGGAUUAGAUACCCCGGUAGUC